GAUUACCUGCAACCGUCUACUCCCGGUGAAGGUGACCUUCGUCUCGGCGCAGGAGCAUACAGGCCCGGUGAGCGUCGGCCCGUCGGUGGACCGAGGAAGACCGUCGCGGAGCGGCGUCGACCGUUCGUCGUGUGUUGGCGUUCGACUCGGGGGGACUGGUUCCAGUGCCCUCGGACCGCGCCGGCGCAGCGGCGGGCGCGCACGGCGUCGCGCCUGGGGUCGGUGGCGAAACGGCCGGCAACCUGUCCGACCCGUCUUGAAACACGGACCAAGGAGUCUAACAUGUGCGCGAGUCGUUGGGCGCUACGAAACCCGAAGGCGCAAUGAAAGUGAAGGCCCGGUCUCCGGCCGGCCUGGGUGGGAUCCCGGCGGUCUCGGCCGUCGGGCGCACCACCGGCCCGUCUCGUUCGUUACGUCGAGGAGGCGGAGCAAGAGCGUACACGUUGGGACCCGAAAGAUGGUGAACUAUGCCCGAGUAGGACGAAGCCAGAGGAAACUCUGGUGGAGGUCCGCAGCGAUUCUGACGUGCAAAUCGAUCGUCAAACUUGGGUAUAGGGGCGAAAGACUAAUCGAACCAUCUAGUAGCUGGUUCCUGUCGAAGUUUCCCUCAGGAUAGCUGGCGCUCGUCGUGAGCAGUUUUAUCCGGUAAAGCGAAUGACUGGAGGCCUUGGG
This 672-nucleotide ribosomal RNA is filed under the name Eiseniella tetraedra. Its description in RNAcentral is "partial large subunit ribosomal RNA". The stretch from base 268 to 672 matches the Rfam family "Eukaryotic large subunit ribosomal RNA", at positions 665 to 1034 of the family's 3401-position model. The record is from RNAcentral. Lineage: Eukaryota; Metazoa; Annelida; Clitellata; Crassiclitellata; Lumbricidae.